GUUAAUUACCCAAUUACCAAGGUAAUUUGCAGUUCCGACCUUUCUUUCAAAGAGAGUGUCUAGAACAUUCCCAACUUUUGGAACCGCUCUUCCGGGGUAUCCGGAGGGGCAAG
Caenorhabditis tropicalis is the source of this 113-nucleotide non-coding RNA. The record is from Rfam. NCBI's taxonomy places the organism in Eukaryota, Metazoa, Nematoda, Chromadorea, Rhabditida, Rhabditidae.